RNAcentral lists this transfer RNA (87 nucleotides) under Aspergillus alliaceus. It matches the Rfam family "tRNA". From Rfam's summary of the family: Transfer RNA (tRNA) molecules are approximately 80 nucleotides in length. Their secondary structure includes four short double-helical elements and three loops (D, anti-codon, and T loops). Further hydrogen bonds mediate the characteristic L-shaped molecular structure. tRNAs have two regions of fundamental functional importance: the anti-codon, which is responsible for specific mRNA codon recognition, and the 3' end, to which the tRNAs corresponding amino acid is attached (by aminoacyl-tRNA synthetases). tRNAs cope with the degeneracy of the genetic code in two manners: having more than one tRNA (with a specific anti-codon) for a particular amino acid; and 'wobble' base-pairing, i.e. permitting non-standard base-pairing at the 3rd anti-codon position. Lineage: Eukaryota; Fungi; Ascomycota; Eurotiomycetes; Eurotiales; Aspergillaceae. The record is from Rfam by way of RNAcentral.
GUCUGGGUGGCGCAAUUGGUUAGCGCGUUCGACUGUUAUCAAGAGAUUGAUAUCGAGAGGUUGAGAGUUCGAGCCUCUCCCUGGACG